RNAcentral lists this unclassified non-coding RNA (221 nucleotides) under soil metagenome. RNAcentral describes it as "partial internal transcribed spacer 1". The record is from RNAcentral.
ACAAAAAAUUGGAAGGCUUUCACUCUUUUGGGGUGGAAGCCUUUUAAAAACACCAAUUGUGAACUUGUAUUAUUGUUUCUUUUCUGUGGUUUUAUCAUGAGCUUAGUUUUUACGCUGGUUUAUGAUAGCCCAGAAAAAACCUUUAUUAAACAAAGAAUUAUACCAUUUUGACCAUUAAAUAAAAGUUUGAAUUUUUUUAAACAUUAAAUAAAUUAAAAAAA